GACGAACGCUGGCGGCGUGCUUAACACAUGCAAGUCGAACGGAAAGGCCCUGCUUUUGUGGGGUGCUCGAGUGGCGAACGGGUGAGUAACACGUGAGUAACCUGCCCUUGACUUUGGGAUAACUUCAGGAAACUGGGGCUAAUACCGGAUAGGAGCUCCUGCUGCAUUGUGGUGGUUGGAAAGUUUCGGCGGUUGGGGAUGGACUCGCGGCUUAUCAGCUUGUUGGUGGGGUAGUGGCUUACCAAGGCUUUGACGGGUAGCCGGCCUGAGAGGGUGACCGGCCACAUUGGGACUGAGAUACGGCCCAGACUCCUACGGGAGGCAGCAGUGGGGAAUAUUGCACAAUGGGCGGAAGCCUGAUGCAGCAACGCCGCGUGCGGGAUGACGGCCUUCGGGUUGUAAACCGCUUUCGCCUGUGACGAAGCGUGAGUGACGGUAAUGGGUAAAGAAGCACCGGCUAACUACGUG
RNAcentral lists this ribosomal RNA (468 nucleotides) under uncultured bacterium. RNAcentral describes it as "partial 16S ribosomal RNA". It matches the Rfam family "Bacterial small subunit ribosomal RNA", at positions 28 to 507 of the family's 1533-position model. The record is from RNAcentral.